GUGCCAGCAGCCGCGGUAAUACGUAGGGUGCGAGCGUUGUCCGGAAUUAUUGGGCGUAAAGGGCUCGUAGGCGGUCUGUUGCGUCAGGAGUGAAAACUCGGGGCUUAACCCCGAGCCUGCUUCUGAUACGGGCAGACUAGAGGUAUGCAGGGGAGAACGGAAUUCCUGGUGUAGCGGUGAAAUGCGCAGAUAUCAGGAGGAACACCGGUGGCGAAGGCGGUUCUCUGGGCAUUACCUGACGCUGAGGAGCGAAAGUGUGGGGAGCGAACAGGAUUAGAUACCCUCGUAGUCC
This 292-nucleotide ribosomal RNA is filed under the name uncultured bacterium. Its description in RNAcentral is "partial 16S ribosomal RNA". It matches the Rfam family "Bacterial small subunit ribosomal RNA", at positions 505 to 796 of the family's 1533-position model. The record is from RNAcentral.